GGCAUGGGCUCAAAAUGGGCUUCUUAUCUGGGGCCCACUUGGGUCAACUGAGUAAGUCCAACAUGGGCAAACCCAGUUGGGCUCCCUUUGUGGGGCCUAGGUGGUUCACUAAUGGGAAAUGAGUGCAUGGGUUGAAAAUGGGCUACACUUGGGGACUAAUUCAGUUUACAGAGGAAGUGCAAACAGUCAAACCCAAUUUUUUUUUUACAGAUAGUACACACAUAUGCACCUUUGAAAUUGCUUGUAUCUAUACAAAUGCCAACACAAUUGCAAUUUUAACACAUUUUCGGCCAAUUAAAAGGAUCAAGACCCUUCAGAUACUGUCACAGUGGUGCAGUCAAAAGUAUGCACACUUUUACUCACAAUAUAAUUUAAACAGUUACAAAAAGACACCUAAAGGUACAGACACAACGGUGACACACACAAAAAAAAAACUUUGCAUGAUAGAUCUCGCGAGAUUUCAUUCAACACUUCCCAUCCCCCUCGCCCUUUUCGCGCUCGCGAGGCCACAACACCAUUCACUCUCUCAGUCUCACUCCCACUCUGCUGUAAUUUUCGGGAGGAGAUUUGGAAGAUUCUCACUGUCUUCGUAGUCAAGGCUAAGUCAAGUUACAGCACUUCCAGAAGAUAUUGUUUUCCCCCUGAGGACGCUCUUGGAGGUUGCUGCAAUGGAGCAGAAAUUGGCAGACCCAACCUUCAACAAACAAGUGGUUGGCGUGGUGGCAGAAAUUGGAGGAAGAACAUUGGAUGAAGCCACCAGAAGAAUGAUGGCCUUCCUUUUAGACCACUCCCUAUCA
This is a long non-coding RNA of Esox lucius (northern pike), 797 nucleotides long. RefSeq lists it as uncharacterized. Lineage: Eukaryota; Metazoa; Chordata; Actinopteri; Esociformes; Esocidae. The transcript is spliced from 3 exons. The record is from RefSeq and is a predicted model, not a curated record.